Gadus macrocephalus (Pacific cod) is the source of this 4491-nucleotide long non-coding RNA. RefSeq lists it as uncharacterized. The record is from RefSeq and is a predicted model, not a curated record. Lineage: Eukaryota; Metazoa; Chordata; Actinopteri; Gadiformes; Gadidae. The transcript has 4 exons.
UGUGUGCGUGUAUAUAUUGUGGCAUCCCGCCACUUAAACCUCGGCCCGGACCAGCCCGAGGGUUGGUCCUGGAUGGCCGAUACCACCGUCACCCACCAGCCGGCGACGGAGAGCACCGACCGAACCCCAAUCAGCGCGAUUGGGGGACACCUGGCCGAAAGCCGAGGAGCCAUUGUUAAAGGAGCACGAGGACUGACAUUUGGGCAGACCAGGAACGGGAGCGAGGAAGGAGGAAGUGCUCAGGUCCGCGAGCAGCUUGAGGCCCAUGGAGGCCCUAGAGACCGUCUAUCAUGGAUAUUUAACUGCAGUUCUGUGAGUAUCCCAACUUAACCAUGAAGAUGAACUGCAAACUGUAAGUCAUUAAUUUCUCAUUACUUUUGGGCACAUUGAUGUAUUUUGGCUUCAUGGUGAGUUAACCUGUUACCUGAAGGUUGAUCUGAGUAAUAAGGAUGUUUUAUUGGUUCAUGGGUUACUUAGGUGUUUGGUUUAUGUUGGUUUUAAUGAUUUGUUAAAAUGUUUCAGGCUCCAAGUUAUUGUUGUUAGCUGGAGUAAUGGGUUGGGUUCUGAUAUCUUCAGUCUUCUUUCAUUCUACUCUCCUGAGCUCUGCAUCUUCAUCACAUGAGUGUUGCUCUACUGUGAGGGUGUGGUCUGAGUGAGCAGAGUUGCAUACUGGGAUACAGAGCUGUCUGAAGUCUACAGGUCUGUAGACACGCCUCCUCAGGGGAAACCGUGUGUUUGAGAAACUGUCGUGACGUCAGUUACAUGGACUGGAAUGUUCUUAAAGAUGCAGACAGGGAUUCAGAAGGAGAAUCACCAGGGGGAGAUGAGGGGGCUCCUCAUCUCAACGACUGAAACACAACUUCAGUCUGACACAGAACCAUGGAACACGUUCAACAGUCCCCUCCAGGCAUCAUGACUCCUCAGGAACAGUUUCAUUUCCAAGAAGGUCUUAAUUGGGGACAUUCCAAGAUGGAUCCUGCUCCUCAAGAGCCACCCCCCCCCUCCACUGGGUGGUCUACUGAACAGAUUACCUCCUUCCUGUCCUCGGGCUGACUAAAGCUGCACCGUUUGCAUCUGUGAAGGCCCCUCAUUCAGGAAACCACUGACUACAAAGACAUGACUUCAGAGACGUUGAAUCAACCUGGGACACAUUUUGGAGACGCCAAGCAUAAUCCAUCACCAAUGUGAGACGCCACUGAAGAAAGUUGUACAUAAUUUACGUCUCUGGAGACACUGGUUGUUCUGUUAUGGGUGCCCUGGCAGGAGAGCUGGGGGGGGGGGGGGGAGAUGGAAUGUUAUUUGGCAUGAGGUUUUUACCCUGCAUGAUUGUUUGGCCUUUUAUGGCUCAGUGGUGUGUGUGUGUGUGUGUGUGUGUGUGUGUUUGACAUGAGAUGGACGAUUUUUGAGAUGGACGAUUUUUGAGAAUCGCUAGGGUUCUGUGUGUGUGUGGGUCUCCCACUCACACCUGGCAGGGGGUUCAAAGUGCCUGUCCUGGGUUCUAUGUGUGUGUCCGGCUUGCUUUGACAGUGAUAAUGUUCAUACGGGGGUCUUUGUGAUUGGUGUGGGAUAUUGGAAUGGUCAACUAAAUCAUACCUGAUGGACGGCCACACGUUUACUUAAAGGCCUCCAGUAGACGUGAAGAGCCCUGAGCGACGCUCCGGAGCGAUAUCCAACACACUGGGCAGGAAGGAGAGUACCCAACUCAAGUGUAAAAGGAUGCAAGCGGCGUGUUCAGAUCAGUGACUUCAAACUAGGACUACACCAAUCAGGAUCAAUGGAGGAUGGACACCAAAAGGAAUUCCACAAGGAGAGUCUGACGUUGGAAAUGGACCUAAAUGGAUAUUCAAGAUGACCUUCAGACCUGUAAUGAGACGGCUCUUCCUACCUGGCUGGAUUGAUGGAGAGCCCUGUGGAUCUUGUCUUGCUCUCAGUUGCACGUCUUCUCGGGCUGAACUGUAUUUGUUUCGGACAGGACUAGCUGAACGAUUGGUUCCCUUAAAGCAGAACCAAUCCGGGAACUCCAGCUAGUGCGCUCUUCGAGCUGAAGUUGUGCUCUUCAGCUGAGGAGGUAAGGAAACCUUCACUGGGGCUUCAAGGUGUAAAGAGGGGAAUGUUUCAAGUGUUCCAUGGUACUCUGAUGAAGACCGUUGUUGUGUUCCACUGGCUGGGAGGAAGAACCCUCACAUCUUCCUCUUGGCCUUUCUCCUCUGAGAAUCCUGGCGCCAUCUUGAAGGAUAUUCCAGCUCAUGUAACUGAUGUCACGACAGAUUCUCAAACACUUGGUUUCUCCUGAGGGGCGUGUCUAUAGAACUGAAGACUUCAGACGGCACUGUAUCCCAGCAUGCAUCUCUGCUCACUCAGAUCACACCCCCAUGAGUAGGAUGCAACACUCUAGUGAUGGAGAUGUAGAGUUUUAUAAGUAACGAGGGAGCAGACUAAGGUGAUUAGAACACAAUGGAAUGUCAAGUCUGUAAAUCUUUAAACCAUGAAAAUGGUUGGAUAGUUGGAUAGUCACUGGACCUGUAAAUGUGUUGGCUGGCUGGCAUGAUUUGCUGUUGGUGAUGAGGCAGUCAGGGUGACGUUGCAGGGCUAUGGUCAGCUCUCUGUGAGCUCAACGUUUAGAUUUGCUCUGUAUGGUUUGUACCCUGAAUAAUUUAGAUAAUUGUAAAAUGUAGACACGGUUUUGUAUUGAAAGAUUCCAGGAUUUUAGGUUUAAAGUUGUUGUGGGACGUACAUGGUAGUUUGGUUCUUCGUAUGGUUUUGAGUGAUAUAACUUGUAAACACUGGGUGCAUAAUAAUAUAAAGGUACACUGAAUAGUAGUAAUUACCAACAGCAACAAACAGAUCUCCUCAAGGUAAGUCUGUUGGCUGUGUUUUAAUGAAGACCGUCGCUGGACGUCAGGAUCUUCCUCCGUUCAGCUCAAGGUGAGGCGCUGGUUCUGUUUUUUCUUUGGUUGGUUCCGGCCGGAAUGUUCGGAUUCCGGUCGGACGGUUUGUGCUUCCCGCCGUGGAAGGUUCUGAGUGCGGUCACUUGAUUUAGUCCCAAUGGUUAGCAUAGAACGUUGUAGUCUUGACAACCAUAAGAAACCACCUGGCAGUUAGUUGGACGGGAGUCCCCUGAGGGAAUCUGGCGUAACGUUCUGGAUUGUAUUUGCGUAACCUCGAGCCGUUGCCAACGGAAAUUUUUUUUCAGUCGGUUUCCAUUUGGAAUUGUUGCCCCUAUCUUAAACAACUUAAGUUUGAUAUUAAAUACAUACUGACACGUACGUCGUACAAUAUGUUAAUUUCCGAUGGUUGCGCCGUACUUUUAACCACGAUGACGUGACGGGACUCUCGCCGCGUACAAAACAGCGUUCUACUUGCGGGCCCAUUUUUGACAUCAGGGAAGGCUGAAAAUCAUUUCAAGGUGGAAGAUAAUUUGACAUUUCUUCAACGGAACCCAGCACCUGAAUAUGGCUGAGUAUAUUUGAUUUAAUAUUGAUACUGCUUAGUGUUCUUCGUUACUUCAGCUUUUGUACGUUCUAAAUAUCUGCUGUCAUUAAUUGCCACAGAAGUUAAACCCUACCCAAUGGAAUGACGUUAAACAACGACUUUGGUGCAGAGUUACUAAUUAAUAUCAAAGCUAAAAUAAUGGCCGUCAUUCCCACAUGUUACAGUAGAAGAUACUCUAGAACUGUACAAGGUUAAAAAGGUAACGUGUAGUUUGUCCCAAGGUGUCUGCCUCCUCACCCAGAGCAAGACCUCCACCUCCUCACCCAGUGCCAGACCUCCACCUCCUCACCCAGUGCCAGACCUCCACCUCCUCACCCAGAGCCAGACCUCCACCUCCUGUCAGAAGUCCUCCAGAACAGCUGAAAGGCGAGGCUGAGAGGCUGGGGACCGGAGGCUUGUGGUGCCAGGGUGGACCGGAGACUGAGGCUGGGGACCAGGGGCCUGCAGCACCGGACCAGAGGGUAACCAUCACCAAGCUCAUCUGAAACACUAAAAUCCACGGUAGUUUAGGUCUGGUUUUGAUCAUCUUAUGACUUUGAAUCUGUGCCAGGCUGUGUUUUGAGUUAAUUCAUACGGGGGUUAUGCAAGAGUCAUAUGAGCCAUUAAUGUUACUAGUGCUGCUACGACCGUAGUGGAUGAAUUGCUGAACGCGACCAUCUGCAGACGUUGUCUAAUUUAAGUGUUUAAAUUUGUCUUCCAUUUUACAAGUGAACCUCAGAUGCAGGAGGUGGGGUGUGAUGCGUCCCCAGGUGAUUUACUGCGGAGACCAACUGUGUUUGUAACCAGACCAGGAAUCCAUGGCUGAAGGAGCUGAUGGAGGAGCCAUGCUGAAGGAGCUGAUGGAGGAGUCUUGCUGAAGGCCCUGCCUUGUGGAGGAGCUGGUGGAGGACCUGCCUGGUGAAGGACAUCUGUCGUGGGACCAGGACUCUGUCUGAGGAGAGCUGCUGGAGGAGCUGAGUCGCUGGAGGACGACUAGGAAUCGACCAACAAGGAUUCCUC